Long non-coding RNA from Salvia miltiorrhiza (redroot sage), 458 nucleotides. RefSeq lists it as uncharacterized. Lineage: Eukaryota; Viridiplantae; Streptophyta; Magnoliopsida; Lamiales; Lamiaceae. The transcript has 3 exons. The record is from RefSeq and is a predicted model, not a curated record.
UACAUUCUUUCUCCCACUCUCACAACUUUUCUCCCACCAUUAUCACACUCCAUAGAAGCCUUUGAAGCCCCAAGAGAAGUAGCAAAGCAAGGGAGAGUGUGGGAAAACUAUAGAGUGAAGGUUGUGCUUCGAGGGUCCGGGCGACAGAAAGUGAAGCCGAAGAAGAAACGACUCCACGCCAGCUUUAAGAACAAUUGAGGUUGAGCAGGCGAUGGAAUGGAUCGGUGUUGAGCGGAUUUCCCUUUUGUUGUUUAUGUAAUGAAACCUUGAGUAUGCAUCUCCAUAUGCAUAACUCACACAUUUUUUUCGCUGCAAACACUCUGACUUAUUUAUCAUUUCUACUUGAACUUAUUACUACUUCAUUUUAAUUAACUUUCAGUUGGGGUCUAGUCGUUAUGGCAGACUCAUUUGUGAAUUACCCAAGUGGUUAUAUAUAUAUACCACUAGUUUGUUAUUAA